Molecule: ribosomal RNA, 430 nt
Filed under: bacterium
Lineage: Bacteria
Description: partial 16S ribosomal RNA
Rfam family: Bacterial small subunit ribosomal RNA
Source: RNAcentral
UGGGGAAUAGUGAACAAUGGGCGGAAGCCUGAUCCAGCCAUGCCGCGUGUGUGAAGAAGGCCUUUUGGUUGUAAAGCACUUUAAGCGAGGAGGAGGCUACUUGGAUUAAUACUCUAGGAUAGUGGACGUUACUCGCAAAAUAAGCACCGGCUAACUCUGUGCCAGCAGCCGCGGUAAUACAGAGGGUGCGAGCGUUAAUCGGAUUUACUGGGCGUAAAGCGUGCGUAGGCGGCUUCUUAAGUCGGAUGUGAAAUCCCUGAGCUUAACAUAGGAAUUGCAUUCGAUACUGGGAAGCUAGAGUAUGGGAGAGGAUGGUAGAAUUCCAGGUGUAGCGGUGAAAUGCGUAGAGAUCUGGAGGAAUACCGAUGGCGAAGGCGGCCAUCUGGCCUAAUACUGACGCUGAGGUACGAAAGCAUGGGGAGCAAACAGG